Long non-coding RNA from Mangifera indica (mango), 785 nucleotides. RefSeq lists it as uncharacterized. Lineage: Eukaryota; Viridiplantae; Streptophyta; Magnoliopsida; Sapindales; Anacardiaceae. The transcript is spliced from 2 exons. The record is from RefSeq and is a predicted model, not a curated record.
AAUUUGAUUUUUAGUAUAAUUUUUUUGUCAAAAGUCAAAGUCUAUUUCACCUUGGCUUUUGCUUUCAACUUUCAAGUCUCUCACCAUCUCACACACGCAUCUUCUAACUUUCUAUAAACUUUUCAUCAUUCAGGUUUCAAAAAACUUCAUCACUUAGUGCCUCAAUCGAUAACGUCAAUAGCCAGUGGACUCCUUCUCCCUUUCAAGAUCGAGCAGUUCCUCUGUUCCACUCCGAUGAUGAAUCAUUUAUGCUUUCGGUUCUAGGCCACUUCUAUUUGUCUAGCAUUCACGUUUGGAGGUGACAAGUUCAACAACAACGAUAGAAGACAUAUUAGACCUAGUUCAACCAAAAAGAAUCAGGGUAAAGCUCCCAAAAGAAUUCACAAGGCUGAGAGGGAGAAAAUGAAGCACAGAAGCAUUUGAAUGAACUUUUUCUUGACCUGGACAGUGUUCUUGAUAAAUUAUUUGUAUUUAAAAAGAUAAUAAAUUGGAAGUAUUAUUAAAGAUUCAUGAUUAAGUUGGGGAUGUGAAUACAUGAUUUUCAUUAUACAUACAAUGGUUUUUAAAGCUCAUAAAUGUAGAAAUGUUCAUUUAUAUUAAGUAUCAAUUAUGUUUUAUGGCUUUUGGCACCAAUAUUGUAAGUUGUAAUGCCAAUUCACCUUGGUGUUCUUGUGCAUAAAUAGUUAUGGAACCACGGGAGCUCAUGUAAUUGUUUUGACCAUUUUACUUAUUUUUGACUUGGAAAGAAGUUAACAGAACAAAUGCAAACUAAUAGUUUCCAUGCA